RNAcentral lists this ribosomal RNA (497 nucleotides) under uncultured bacterium. RNAcentral's name for it is "partial 16S ribosomal RNA". It matches the Rfam family "Bacterial small subunit ribosomal RNA", at positions 28 to 507 of the family's 1533-position model. The record is from RNAcentral.
GACGAACGCUGGCGGCGUGCCUAAUACAUGCAAGUAGAACGCUGAAGAGAGGAGCUUACUCUUCUUGGAUGAGUUGCGAACGGGUGAGUAACGCGUAGGUAACCUGCCUUGUAGCGGGGGAUAACUAUUGGAAACGAUAGCUAAUACCGCAUAACAAUGGAUGACACAUGUCAUUUAUUUGAAAGGGGCAAUUGCUCCACUACAAGAUGGACCUGCGUUGUAUUAGCUAGUAGGUGAGGUAAUGGCUCACCUAGGCGACGAUACAUAGCCUACCUGAGAGGGUGAUCGGCCACACUGGGACUGAGACACGGCCCAGACUCCUACGGGAGGCAGCAGUAGGGAAUCUUCGGCAAUGGGGGCAACCCUGACCGAGCAACGCCGCGUGAGUGAAGAAGGUUUUCGGAUCGUAAAGCUCUGUUGUAAGUCAAGAACGGGUGUGAGAGUGGAAAGUUCACACUGUGACGGUAGCUUACCAGAAAGGGACGGCUAACUACGUG